CAAAAGCGUAUAUUAAAGUUGUUGCAGUUAAAAAGCUCGUAGUUGAACCUUGGGCUUGGCUGGCCGGUCCAUCUUUUUUGAUGCGUACUGGACCCAGCCGAGCCUUUCCUUCUGACUAGCCUUUUGGCGAACCAGGACUUUUACUUUGAAAAAAUUAGAGUGUUCAAAGCAGGCCUUUGCUCGAAUAUAUUAGCAUGGAAUAAUAGAAUAGGACGUUAUGGUUCUAUUUUGUUGGUUUCUAGGACCAUCGUAAUGAUUAAUAGGGACGGUCGGGGGUAUCAGUAUUCAGUUGUCAGAGGUGAAAUUCUUGGAUUUACUGAAGACUAACUACUGCGAAAGCAUUUACCAAGGACGUUUUCAUUAA
RNAcentral lists this ribosomal RNA (364 nucleotides) under uncultured eukaryote. Its description in RNAcentral is "partial 18S ribosomal RNA". It matches the Rfam family "Eukaryotic small subunit ribosomal RNA", at positions 592 to 976 of the family's 1831-position model. The record is from RNAcentral.